RNAcentral lists this ribosomal RNA (567 nucleotides) under uncultured bacterium. RNAcentral's name for it is "bacterial SSU rRNA". It matches the Rfam family "Bacterial small subunit ribosomal RNA", at positions 771 to 1337 of the family's 1533-position model. The record is from RNAcentral.
ACCUAAUAGAUACCCUGGUAGUCCACGCCCUAAACUAUGUCAACUAGUUGUUGGGAGAGUUAAAUCUCUUAGUAAACGCAGCUAAACGCGUGAAGUUGACCGCCUGGGGAGUACGGCCGCAAGGUUAAAACUCAAAGGAAUUGACGGGGACCCGCACAAGCGGUGGAUUAUGUGGAUUAAUUCGAUGCAACGCGAAAAACCUUACCUACCCUUGACAUGUACGGAACGGGGCAGAGACGUCCCGGUGCCCGAAAGGGAACCGUAACACAGGUGCUGCAUGGCUGUCGUCAGCUCGUGUCGUGAGAUGUUGGGUUAAGUCCCGCAACGAGCGCAACCCUUACCAUUAGUUGCUACAUUCAGUUGGGCACUCUAAUGGGACUGCCGGUGACAAACCGGAGGAAGGUGGGGAUGACGUCAAGUCCUCAUGGCCCUUAUGGGUAGGGCUUCACACGUAAUACAAUGGCCGGUACAGAGGGUUGCCAGCCCGCGAGGGGGAGCCAAUCCCAGAAAACCGGUCGUAGUCCGGAUUGUUCUCUGCAACUCGAGAGCAUGAAGUCGGAAUCGCUA